This 509-nucleotide ribosomal RNA is filed under the name Tiarina fusus. RNAcentral describes it as "Tiarina fusa partial Bacterial large subunit ribosomal RNA". It matches the Rfam family "Bacterial large subunit ribosomal RNA", at positions 746 to 1242 of the family's 2925-position model. Lineage: Eukaryota; Ciliophora; Prostomatea; Prorodontida; Colepidae. The record is from RNAcentral.
UGAAGCUGAAUUUAUUGGACGUUUGGCAGACCGAACCCGUGUAUGUGGCAAAAUACUGGGAAGAUGCGUGAUUAGGGGUGAAAGGCCAAUCAAAUUCAGAUAUAGCUGGUUUUCUGCGAAAAUUAUUUAAGUAAUGUAUUAGAAGAUUAAAUAAAUAGGGGGUAGAGCACAUUGUUGGAUGAGGGGGGAGUUCUUGUAAUUCUACCGAUUUCAUUUAAACUCCGAAUACCUAUAUUAUAACACUUUUAGUAAGCAGAUCUUGAGUGCUAAGAUUCAAGAUCUAAAGGGAAAAAGCCCUCAUUAUUAGUUAAGGUUUUUAAAUAUAAUUCAUGGAUUAAGUUUGAUUUUGUAAAGAAAACCAAGAGGUAGGCUUAGAAGCAGCCAUCCUUUAAAGAAAGCGUCAUUGCUCAAUGGUAUAGCAUAAAUUAGACAGAAAUGUAAGGAAACUUUAGUUAUAUACCGAAACUAUAAAAUAUAUACAUGUAGUAGUAUUGGUAGCAGAACGUAAG